RNAcentral lists this ribosomal RNA (468 nucleotides) under uncultured bacterium. Its description in RNAcentral is "partial 16S ribosomal RNA". It matches the Rfam family "Bacterial small subunit ribosomal RNA", at positions 28 to 507 of the family's 1533-position model. The record is from RNAcentral.
GACGAACGCUGGCGGCGUGCUUAACACAUGCAAGUCGAACGGAAAGGCCCUGCUUUUGUGGGGUGCUCGAGUGGCGAACGGGUGAGUAACACGUGAGUAACCUGCCCUUGACUUUGGGAUAACUUCAGGAAACUGGGGCUAAUACCGGAUAGGAGCUCCUGCUGCAUGGUGGGGGUUGGAAAGUUUCGGCGGUUGGGGCUGGAGUCGCGGCUUAUCAGCUGGUUGGUGGGGUAGUGGCUUACCAAGGCUUUGACGGGUGGCCGGCCUGAGAGGGUGACCGGCCACGUUGGGACUGCGAUGCGGCCCAGACUCCUACGGGAGGCAGCAGUGGGGAAUAUUGCACAAUGGGCGGAAGCCUGAUGCAGCAACGCCGCGUGCGGGAUGACGGCCUUCGGGUUGUAAACCGCUUUCGCCUGUGACGAAGCGUGAGUGACGGUAAUGGGUAAAGAAGCACCGGCUAACUACGUG